UCAGGGGAGCUGCUAGAAUUCAGCACCUCUAAAACUGUAUCAUGCUAUCAUGGAAAUGCAGUGGACAUUUUCCAAAGAUGCAGAAAGAGGAAGGCAAGGGAUAUUGCGAUGAUUCUGCCUGUGGGAAGGGGCAGUAAUUCCCACGAGUGCUUUAUAGGAUGUUUCCAUUCUAGUCAGCCCCUUUGCAUGGCCAGUAUGUUUGGGAAAAACAUAGCUUCUUACCACUCAAUUGGUGAAUCAGAGAAUCAUAGAAAUGUAGGGCUAGAAGGGACUCCAAAUGUUCAUCCUCCUGCAUGAAGAAUGCAUUAUCACCAUCCUCUUUACAGCAUCACCUCACAUGUUUGAAGAUUGUAAUCAUGUUCUCCACUCUCCCCAGGGCAUUUCAAGGGGAUGGAUGGAAGGUUCCACGUGGCUUGUGAUGCCAUAGCCUCUCUCUGGCAGACCAGAGUCCCUCUUCCCCCACCAAAGUCUGUCCUGGCAAAGAGCUCCACCAAUUCCUGGGAGGUGCUGAAGCCCUUUCCCCACCCAUGGUGGUAGACUCGGGGCUUGAGACACCUGUCGUCGCUCACCCAGAGUUCCCUGCCAAAGAGGAGGAAGAACAGCAGCUGCAGGAGGAGGAGGACACAGACAGCACAGUCACUUUAACCCUGGAGUUGGUACGCCCAGGCCCUGGAGAUCUCCCAGGCAUCCUCUGAUGGUGGGGAGCGAUCAUCAGGGGCGGGAGAGAAAGAUUUUUCAGAAAGCCAAAUAAAGCCACUGGACCCAGAAUACUUUGCAAAGGAAGAAACAAAUGUAAAGACUUCUGUGGCUCAGACUCAUCACACCUGUAUUUACUUCUCUGUGGUUCACUCUAGCAGUGCCCAAUCAGAUCUCAGGUCUUCAACUGUCACAUGUCUCUCGUCAGAGAUCCUUGUCACCCUCCCAGCUGACCAGGGCUUUUAAAGGCUGCACAGCUGCCUUCCUUACACCAUGAUAUGCCCAGAAAACUAGUUCAUUUAAAGGUCAGGGCCUGAGCUUUGCUUUGCACAUUGAGGGCUAUGAACAGAGUAUUGCCAACAGUUUCAAGUGUCCAUGCCUUUUUCUAUGCAAUCAUGUUUAUCCUUAAGAGGAAAGCAUUACCUAGAAUCCAUAAGAAAAACAAUAAAUAACAAAAACAAUAAAUAGAUUUAAACAAACACUAAAGAAAGCAGGUGUUACUCAUCAUUCUUAUGUUGCCCCACACACCAAAGACUUUCCAUCUCUUCACCAAGAUUGGAGCACCCUUUGGAUGGAAGAUUGUCCAUUUGCUGGAUUAAAAAGGAGUGCUGAGUCAGUUCAACCUUGGCCUUUUAAUAUCAAAAGCCAUUUCUUUUCCUGAAUUUCUGGAAAAGUCACUCUGAACCACUAUAUGAAAACCUGUCCAGAGACUGGCACCUCUCUGGAGUUGUUUAGACACAGUGGUUCACUUUAAUAACCCCAAAGGUAUCUUGCUGGAGACAUAAGGGCUUUGGCACACUCAUCCCAAAAAGGGAGCACUGGAGCGGUCCUCUAAGUACAUCUAGUUGCAUGGGAAGCAACCAAUCAGAGCCUAAGCGAGUCAUAUAAAAAGGAAUGGCAGAUCGGGGAGGAAGAGAGUUUGUAAGUAUUGUUGGGCUGAGGUGCUGUGUCUACACUGCACCAUUUUUCUGAAAUCACUGUAGUUAUUAUGGAAAAAAAUACUAGCAUCCACACUGUAAUUGUGUUAUUUCAAAAGAAAGUCAAAAUAAUGAACAGCUUCACCUGACACUGGUAAACCUCAUUCCUGACAAGGAAUAAGGCCUCUUCUGAAAAAGCUUUUUCAGAAGAGGAGGUAUGGGGAUACAGAAGACAGACUUUUAAUGAAAAAAGAGGUGUCCAGGAAAUCCCACUGGUGCCCUGCUGGCCACUCUGUCCACACUCAUCAGGACUCUAUUGCUACGUCUACACUGGCCCCU
This is a non-coding RNA of Pelodiscus sinensis (Chinese soft-shelled turtle), 1952 nucleotides long. NCBI's taxonomy places the organism in Eukaryota, Metazoa, Chordata, Testudines, Trionychidae. The record is from RefSeq and is a predicted model, not a curated record.